This 280-nucleotide ribosomal RNA is filed under the name uncultured bacterium. Its description in RNAcentral is "partial 16S ribosomal RNA". It matches the Rfam family "Bacterial small subunit ribosomal RNA", at positions 29 to 334 of the family's 1533-position model. The record is from RNAcentral.
AACGAACGCUGGCGGCAGGCCUAACACAUGCAAGUCGAGCGCACCCCUUCGGGGGCGAGCGGCGGACGGGUUAGUAACGCGUGGGAACAUACCCUUUACUACGGAAUAGCCUCGGGAAACUGAGAGUAAUACCGUAUGUGCCCUUCGGGGGAAAGAUUUAUCGGUAAAGGAUUGGCCCGCGUUAGAUUAGAUAGUUGGUGGGGUAAUGGCCUACCAAGUCUACGAUCUAUAGCUGGUUUUAGAGGAUGAUCAGCAACACUGGGACUGAGACACGGCCCAG